Molecule: long non-coding RNA, 1213 nt
Organism: Cygnus atratus (black swan)
Lineage: Eukaryota; Metazoa; Chordata; Aves; Anseriformes; Anatidae
Exons: 4
Source: RefSeq, a predicted model, not a curated record
GCCCCGCUCCGCUCAGAGGCCGGGCCGGGAUUUGGCCGCGUGUCGGGUUCGGGUGGGCGCCGCAUCCAAUUUGUCGGGAGGGAUGCUGUAGGCGGAGAUGAGAGGCAGAGCUAACGGGGCUUCUGCAAUCCCUGCGUUUGCCGGGCGAGAGGCAUGGACGGCGCCCCGGCCCCGGUACUCGGCGGGAAUAGCGGUGUCAGCCCCGCUCCCGCUGACGGGCAUCCUCCGCAGAGCCGGGGCGGCCGGCACUUUUCCUGGGCACCGGCGAACGACCCCUCCCCAUGCCCCUAGCCCGACGGUAAAAACGGAACACCAGAUAAAAAAGUGGCUUUGCAGGAAUGAAGGAGCGUCAGCCCUCUUCUGGCUGCGACAACAACUUAUUUAGAUCGUGUGGAAGUUCUGCAUUUCAUAUUUGAAAUCCACUGUAAUAAACAUGACUGCUGCGUUACAGGAAGGAAAGAGCUCUGAAUCUAUUGUGCUGCUUCAGCAUCAGCUAGUCCACUUCUCUGAGUGAAUAUAAAGCAACAAUUCCUGAGGAGGCAGGAAGUCUUAAUGCACUAAAGACGUAAGCAAAGAAGCUAAAUCGCAAGUGACCAAAUCAAUUACACUUCAGAUCAGACUGCGGCAGGACUUUUUGGUUCUGAACCAGAUGGAACUAGACUCUUUGUGAAGGAGGAUCAGAUUUUUUGCAUUGAGACAGCUAUCGCGAUGUAAAAACGUACCAGAGACAAGCGUGGUUUUCCUUGAUGUAACUAGUUGAGGUAAAUCCAGGUGGCGGCACAAGCUAUCCGGAGAUAGAAAGCACUUUUAAAAUCCAAUGGAGAUAGAACAAUUUGUUUAGAAAACCUGGACAAUUUGGUUAGAAAGCCUCUGCAUGGCCCUCUGGGAGGAAGUGACUACUACAGUCAAGUGUAACAAAACCUUCUUCCUAGAUAGAGAAAAGCCAUCAUAGCCAAAGGUAAAUUCUUUGUUUCUAAUUUAGAGAAGUAUUUUGGAAAACCAAAUACUUUUAUGCUUUAAUAUAUCAAAUCAAAUUUUUUGUUUCAUCUGGCAUCUGGACCCCUCUUGAUUUGAAUAUACUACCACCACCUUCUAGGAGAGCUUUGAAAACCACUUUAGCAUUUGGCCCUAAAUAUUUAAACACGGGGAAUUCCACCUGAAAACAAGCACCUUGAAAGGACUUCUUCCUGCUAGUAUGGAGGGAAAGACUCUG